UUUAGAGGAAGUAAAAGUCGUAACAAGGUCUCCGUUGGUGAACCAGCGGAGGGAUCAUU
Molecule: ribosomal RNA, 59 nt
Filed under: Trichoderma harzianum
Lineage: Eukaryota; Fungi; Ascomycota; Sordariomycetes; Hypocreales; Hypocreaceae
Also listed under: 1 other name
Description: partial 18S ribosomal RNA
Rfam family: Eukaryotic small subunit ribosomal RNA
Source: RNAcentral